Molecule: ribosomal RNA, 1058 nt
Filed under: uncultured Cryobacterium sp.
Lineage: Bacteria; Bacillati; Actinomycetota; Actinomycetes; Micrococcales; Microbacteriaceae
Description: bacterial SSU rRNA
Rfam family: Bacterial small subunit ribosomal RNA
Source: RNAcentral
CCUACGGGAGGCAGCAGUGGGGAAUAUUGCACAAUGGGCGCAAGCCUGAUGCAGCAACGCCGCGUGAGGGACGAAGGCCUUCGGGUUGUAAACCUCUUUUAGUAGGGAAGAAGCGACUGGGUUUUCCUGGGAGUGACGGUACCUGCAGAAAAAGCACCGGCUAACUACGUGCCAGCAGCCGCGGUAAUACGUAGGGUGCAAGCGUUGUCCGGAAUUAUUGGGCGUAAAGAGCUCGUAGGCGGUUUGUCGCGUCUGCUGUGAAAACCCGAGGCUCAACCUCGGGCCUGCAGUGGGUACGGGCAGACUAGAGUGCGGUAGGGGAGAUUGGAAUUCCUGGUGUAGCGGUGGAAUGCGCAGAUAUCAGGAGGAACACCAAUGGCGAAGGCAGAUCUCUGGGCCGUAACUGACGCUGAGGAGCGAAAGCAUGGGGAGCGAACAGGAUUAGAUACCCUGGUAGUCCAUGCCGUAAACGUUGGGAACUAGAUGUGGGGACCAUUCCACGGUCUCCGUGUCGCAGCUAACGCAUUAAGUUCCCCGCCUGGGGAGUACGGCCGCAAGGCUAAAACUCAAAGGAAUUGACGGGGGCCCGCACAAGCGGCGGAGCAUGCGGAUUAAUUCGAUGCAACGCGAAGAACCUUACCAAGGCUUGACAUAUACCGGAAACGGCUGGAAACAGUCGCCCCGCAAGGUCGGUAUACAGGUGGUGCAUGGUUGUCGUCAGCUCGUGUCGUGAGAUGUUGGGUUAAGUCCCGCAACGAGCGCAACCCUCGUCCUAUGUUGCCAGCACGUAAUGGUGGGAACUCAUGGGAUACUGCCGGGGUCAACUCGGAGGAAGGUGGGGAUGACGUCAAAUCAUCAUGCCCCUUAUGUCUUGGGCUUCACGCAUGCUACAAUGGCCGGUACAAAGGGCUGCGAUACCGCAAGGUGGAGCGAAUCCCAAAAAGCCGGUCUCAGUUCGGAUUGAGGUCUGCAACUCGACCUCAUGAAGUCGGAGUCGCUAGUAAUCGCAGAUCAGCAACGCUGCGGUGAAUACGUUCCCGGGCCUUGUACACACCGCC